RNAcentral lists this ribosomal RNA (301 nucleotides) under uncultured bacterium. Its description in RNAcentral is "partial 16S ribosomal RNA". It matches the Rfam family "Bacterial small subunit ribosomal RNA", at positions 509 to 807 of the family's 1533-position model. The record is from RNAcentral.
CAGCCGCCGCGGUAAUACGUAGGGGGCAAGCGUUAUCCGGAAUUACUGGGUGUAAAGGGAGCGUAGACGGUUAAACAAGUCUGAAGUGAAAUGCCGGGGCUCAACCCCGGAGCUGCUUUGGGAACUGUAGAACUGGAGUGUCGGAGGGGUAAGCGGAAUUCCCAGUGUAGCGGUGAAAUGCGUAGAUAUUGGGAGGAACACCGGCGGCGAAGGCGGCUUACUGGACGACAACUGACGUUGAGGCUCGAAGGCGUGGGUAGCAGACAGGAUUAGAUACCCCGGUAGUCCCUGUCUCUUAUAC